GGAAGUAAAAGUCGUAACAAGAUUUCCGUAGGUGAACCUGCGGAAGGAUCAUUCAUAAUAAGUGUUUUAUGGCACUUUUUUAAAUCCAUAUCCACCUUGUGUGCAAUGUCAGGGUUGAUUUUUCUCUCGAGAGGAUCAACCCCAAACAUCAACUAUAUCUCAACUCUUUGUCUGAAAAAUAUUAUGAAUAAAACAAUUCAAAAUACAACUUUCAACAACGGACCUCUUGGCUCUC
RNAcentral lists this unclassified non-coding RNA (235 nucleotides) under plant metagenome. RNAcentral describes it as "partial contains small subunit ribosomal RNA and internal transcribed spacer 1". The stretch from base 1 to 54 matches the Rfam family "Eukaryotic small subunit ribosomal RNA", at positions 1778 to 1831 of the family's 1831-position model. The record is from RNAcentral.